RNAcentral lists this ribosomal RNA (253 nucleotides) under uncultured bacterium. RNAcentral describes it as "partial 16S ribosomal RNA". It matches the Rfam family "Bacterial small subunit ribosomal RNA", at positions 524 to 776 of the family's 1533-position model. The record is from RNAcentral.
UACGAAGGGGGCUAGCGUUGCUCGGAAUCACUGGGCGUAAAGCGCACGUAGGCGGAUCGUUAAGUCAGGGGUGAAAUCCUGGAGCUCAACUCCAGAACUGCCUUUGAUACUGGCGACCUUGAGUUCGGGAGAGGUGAGUGGAACUGCGAGUGUAGAGGUGAAAUUCGUAGAUAUUCGGAAGAACACCAGUGGCGAAGGCGGCUCACUGGACCGGUAUUGACGCUGAGGUGCGAAAGCGUGGGGAGCAAACAGG